This 497-nucleotide ribosomal RNA is filed under the name uncultured bacterium. RNAcentral describes it as "partial 16S ribosomal RNA". It matches the Rfam family "Bacterial small subunit ribosomal RNA", at positions 28 to 507 of the family's 1533-position model. The record is from RNAcentral.
GAUGAACGCUGGCGGCGUGCCUAAUACAUGCAAGUCGAGCGAACAGACGAGGAGCUUGCUCCUCUGACGUUAGCGGCGGACGGGUGAGUAACACGUGGAUAACCUACCUAUAAGACUGGGAUAACUUCGGGAAACCGGAGCUAAUACCGGAUAAUAUAUUGAACCGCAUGGUUGAAUAGUGAAAGACGGUUUUGCUGUCACUAAUAGAUGGAUCCGCGCCGCAUUAGCUAGUUGGUAAGGUAACGGCUUACCAAGGCGACGAUGCGUAGCCGACCUGAUAGGGUGAUCGGCCACACGGGAACUGAGACACGGUCCAGACUCCUACGGGAGGCAGCAGUAGGGAAUCUUCCGCAAUGGGCGAAAGCCUGACGGAGCAACGCCGCGUGAGUGAUGAAGGUCUUCGGAUCGUAAAACUCUGUUAUUAGGGAAGAACAAAUGUGUAAGUAACUAUGCACGUCUUGACGGUACCUAAUCAGAAAGCCACGGCUAACUACGUG